AGCGAAGCAUCAUGGGCCGGAAACCAGCCUUUACUUCCCCUUUCCUUCGCUGCAGCCUCAUCCUGAGGAGAACAGCACUGUGUGCAGACGUGCCUCGGGCAUGGCGAAAAGGAGCUGGGAGGCCAGGGGUGCUGGUACCCUGAUCUUGCUGAGUUGGCUUGCAGGUGCCAGCGUGAUAGAGCCGGAGACCUGCAGCUCCCCAGGUGACUUUCCCCCGCCAGUGUUCUUCUCAAACAGCUCUGCAGCUCAGGAAGGCGACUUGAUUUUUGCACGGUGCCUCGUUUUUUCCCACUUCCCCGUUGCCCGCAUCUUCUUCUGCAAGAAUGGGGUGGAGCUGGCAAACCACCCGGUCAGGAAAGAGCAGUUCACCUCCACACUCACCUUCCGGCUCUCCCCAGAGAGCAGCGGCACCUACUCUUGUGGGUACCUGCGCCUGAGCAGCCUUGGUCAAGUCAAGCUUUCAAGGCUGAGUGUCCCGUGGCUCCUGAGUGCCAGAGGCAGGAAGGACGCCCCAAGGAAUGACAGCAUUGCCCCGAGCCCAGAGCUGGCAGCUGAAGGGCUGGGAGUCUCAGGCAGCCUGGCCUUUGUGGUUCUCGCCGUCCUGACUCUGGCUUUAGCUGUCCACCUCCUGCUGCAGAUAGGAAAGCGAGUCCAGCUGGCCAAGCUGAAGGCUUUCAUCUCCUGCUAGAAGGUCACCACAUUUCACAAGCAUUGUGAAGGAAGAAGUCAAGGAGCCUUUGCAGACAGCGGUCCUCUUUGCUGGACCAGAGAAAUACAUUGGGGUGCUCAGGACUGCUGCAUGGGCCACUCUGAUAUCUGCAGUGCCUCACAGCCAUGGCAGGGGGUUGGCCCAAGAUGAUAUCCCUUGGGUCAGUGCCACCUGCACUGUGUAGGCAAUUGGUGAAAUCACCUCUCCAGCCUUUCCAGUGUCCUGAGGACCCAGCUGCUCCAUCUGCAGCCCCAGAGACACAGCACUCAGCCACAAAACACACAGCUCCACUGCUGGAGCCAGCACAGUUUGCUCCAGGCUCCUGGGAGUGGCUGUGAACAUUGCGGUGGCUCAGAAGCAGGAAAGUACAUCCAUUAAAAAG
Molecule: long non-coding RNA, 1091 nt
Filed under: Struthio camelus australis
Lineage: Eukaryota; Metazoa; Chordata; Aves; Struthioniformes; Struthionidae
Description: lncRNA (ENSSCUG00000001916.1)
Source: RNAcentral